GUGUUUAACUUCGAAAUGCAAGUUCUACCUCUGGUAUAUUGGAACAACCUGUGUGCAAAACAUUCUCCUUUGCUAGCGAGCUCGAGUAACAUUUGACCCACUGACUUACUUUUCAGCUUGUUCAUCACAUCCGGACCAGACGUCAAAUAUCUGUUGGGGUUCGUAAGAACUCAACUCAGCACAACCACCACCAUCGUACUGAUACUGGCCCUAAGUUCUACCGAAUCGCAGUCGGUCAAGGUGACGAGUACGACGCCAGAGCCCAAGCCAGAGGAGCUGCCGCGUCAUUCUACCUAAACGGGAUUGAGCCCGACGAGGAAGACAUCAGCAUCUAUCGGGAAAAUGAGGAACUAAAGGAGGAGGUCCAAAAACUCGCUGCACAAAUCGAGUUCAUGAAAAUCGUACACAUGGAGGCCAACAACCGACACCUGAAGCCUCGCCGCGAGGGGUACUUUUCUCAGAGCCUUCACGGAAGAAGAAAAUCCAGCAUGGGGGCAGCACUUCGUCUAGAGGCGUACACGAAUUUGCCUCAAGAUGGACUCUCUCAGUCGGGAAAUGAAGUGUAAAUUGGUGUGUUCGGGCUGUGUUGCAUAACGCAACAAAACAUGAGAUUGAAACGUGUUUGUGUUAGAUGUAAGCGCUGCUCAGGAAGGGUGUUGUUUGAAUCACGCACGUGCGCGUGCUACACAGGCUGAUACAUGUUGUGUCACGUGAUUUUCGUUAGGCAUGUGUUAAGUGAGAUUCAACGUUGAAUGUGGGGAAAAAUAACGUUGAAAUGUAGUCUUAGAGACGAAGGUGACAUCGGUGGCGGAUGGUAUCUUGAUAAUGCGUCCACUUUGUUGUAUUUUGAUGUAAGCAGAUCAGGUGAGGAGUCGCGUACCAAUAAUAUUUGGUUUGUUGUUUGCGUUUACUACGACGAAGAAGGAAAUGAUCUCGUGUUUUAGGCAUCGUUUUUGUCGCUGUUGCAUGUCUCAAUCUAAUGAGGUAUGUUCAUUGUAACACAGUGCUAAAUAAUCAGCUUUUAUUGAGCAUUGUAUUUUGUUUUUGUUUUUUUUUUUCUUUGUUUUUAGCGCCAAUUCGUAACACAUUCUAAUCAACAUCUGCUAACGUAAAAACUGUACAGCAUGUUGUGUAUUCGGUGUUGAUUUUUACUGCUGCAAUGAAAACAGCAGUGGCGCAUCGCUUUUCGACGUGAUACUGUUCCAAGAUGGCGGGUACUCUUCACUGAGGUGUGUUUAUGUAGAUAAUGUAAUAAAGUAAAUGGCUAAUUGU
Molecule: long non-coding RNA, 1272 nt
Organism: Amphibalanus amphitrite
Lineage: Eukaryota; Metazoa; Arthropoda; Thecostraca; Balanomorpha; Balanidae
Exons: 3
Source: RefSeq, a predicted model, not a curated record